AAAAAGAGGUAAGCAAACAGCAGAGUGGAAAACAAAGGAAAUACUUCAGACUGCUAUUAUCUCAUUUCAGCGUAGCAGACACGCUGCCGGAUGGACAAGUCAAGUCUUUGUCACAGAUUAGAAGUAAAGCAUCCAGACCACCAAAGCAAAGAUGGAGUCUGGCUCUGUCGCCCAGGCUCGAGGGCUCCAGUACAGUGGUGCAAUCUCAGCUCACUGUAAUAACUGCCUUCCGGGUUCAAGCGAUUCACCUGCCUCAGCCUCCCCAGUAGCUGAUAUCACAGAUCCAACUUUUCUUCAUGGUAGAGAUACCCUAACUGCCCUCCAAACAAAGUUGCUAGUAUUGGAAGGAGGUUUGAGGAUACUCAUCUAGUGCAAGAGAUCCCUCAUCAAUUUCACUUCAUCUUUUCACAGAGCUUCCGGUUGUAUAAUUCUGCAGUGUAAUUCAGUUACUACCAAAGAAUCUCAUGUCAUUUUUUAACACUUUUCACUGCUUGAAAGGUCCAUAGGUUAAAUAUGGAAUUUACAACUUUACCUUUUCCACUAUCCUUUUGUACAUCUUUAACCAAUCAACAAACAUCUCUCAAUUUAUUUUCCUUAAAUGUAAUAAGUAAAAAGUGUGGUUGAGUGGAAGAUUACCAAAGUCCUCUGAUUUAGAUGUAUUGUAUUGUGUUGUUUUGUUUUUUUCCUCCCGGAAGUUCA
This 699-nucleotide long non-coding RNA is filed under the name Homo sapiens (human). RNAcentral's name for it is "HSALNT0204695". The record is from RNAcentral. Lineage: Eukaryota; Metazoa; Chordata; Mammalia; Primates; Hominidae.